Molecule: ribosomal RNA, 254 nt
Filed under: uncultured bacterium
Lineage: Bacteria
Description: partial 16S ribosomal RNA
Rfam family: Bacterial small subunit ribosomal RNA
Source: RNAcentral
UACGGAGGGUGCAAGCGUUAUCCGGAUUUACUGGGUUUAAAGGGUGCGUAGGUGGGUUUGUAAGUCAGUGGUGAAAUCUCCGAGCUUAACUCGGAAACUGCCAUUGAUACUAUAGAUCUUGAAUUAUCUGGAGGUAAGCGGAAUAUGUCAUGUAGCGGUGAAAUGCUUAGAUAUGACAUAGAACACCAAUUGCGGAAGGCAGCUUACUACGGAUAUAUUGACACUGAGGCACGAAAGCGUGGGGAUCAAACAGG